Molecule: ribosomal RNA, 165 nt
Filed under: uncultured bacterium
Lineage: Bacteria
Description: partial 16S ribosomal RNA
Rfam family: Bacterial small subunit ribosomal RNA
Source: RNAcentral
UAGUAAUCGCAGAUCAGCAUGCUGUGGUGAAUACGUUCCCGGGCCUUGUACACACCGCCCGUCACACCAUGGGAGUCGGUAACACCCAAAGUUGGUAGUCUAACCGCAAGGAGGACGCCGCCUAAGGUGGGAUUGAUGACUGGGGUGAAGUCGUAACAAGGUAUC